Molecule: ribosomal RNA, 274 nt
Filed under: uncultured bacterium
Lineage: Bacteria
Description: partial 16S ribosomal RNA
Rfam family: Bacterial small subunit ribosomal RNA
Source: RNAcentral
AUACGGAGGGUGCAAGCGUUACUCGGAAUCACUGGGCGUAAAGCGCGCGCAGGCGGCUAUUUAAGUUGGAUGUGGAAGCCUACGGCUCAACCGUAGAACUGCAUCCAAAACUAUUUAGCUAGAGUGUGGGAGAGGAAGAUGGAAUUAGUUGUGUAGGGGUAAAAUCCGUAGAGAUAACUAGGAAUACCAAAAGCGAAGGCAAUCUUCUGGAACACUACUGACGCUGAGGCGCGAAAGCGUGGGGAGCAAACAGGAUUAGAAACCCCAGUAGUCC